AGGUUGCUAGCUCAACUGGUUAGAGCAAUCGCCUCUUAAGCGAUAGGUUCAGGGUUCAAGUCCCUGGCGACCUA
This 74-nucleotide transfer RNA is filed under the name Stenotrophomonas phage IME-SM1. It matches the Rfam family "tRNA". Rfam says of the family: Transfer RNA (tRNA) molecules are approximately 80 nucleotides in length. Their secondary structure includes four short double-helical elements and three loops (D, anti-codon, and T loops). RNAcentral also lists the same sequence under 1 other name. Lineage: Duplodnaviria; Heunggongvirae; Uroviricota; Caudoviricetes. The record is from Rfam by way of RNAcentral.